Molecule: ribosomal RNA, 253 nt
Filed under: uncultured bacterium
Lineage: Bacteria
Description: partial 16S ribosomal RNA
Rfam family: Bacterial small subunit ribosomal RNA
Source: RNAcentral
UACAGAGGUCUCAAGCGUUGUUCGGAUUCAUUGGGCGUAAAGGGUGCGUAGGCGGCGGGGUAAGUCGGAUGUGAAAUCCCGGGGCUCAACCCCGGAACUGCAUUCGAUACUGCCUUGCUAGAGUACUGGAGAGGAGACUGGAAUUUACGGUGUAGCAGUGAAAUGCGCAGAUAUCAGGAAGAACACCCGUGGCGAAGGCGGCUCUCUGGAACGCAACUGACGCUGAGACGCGAAAGCGUGGGGAGCAAACAGG